This 253-nucleotide ribosomal RNA is filed under the name uncultured bacterium. RNAcentral's name for it is "partial 16S ribosomal RNA". It matches the Rfam family "Bacterial small subunit ribosomal RNA", at positions 524 to 776 of the family's 1533-position model. The record is from RNAcentral.
UACGUAGGGUGCAAGCGUUAAUCGGAAUUACUGGGCGUAAAGCGUGCGCAGGCGGCGAUGUAAGUCAGAUGUGAAAUCCCCGGGCUCAACCUGGGAAUUGCAUUUGUGACUGCACGGCUAGAGUGUGUCAGAGGGGGGUAGAAUUCCACGUGUAGCAGUGAAAUGCGUAGAGAUGUGGAGGAACACCCAGGGGGAAACCAGCCGACUGGGCAUCUACUGACGCUGAGGUGCGAGAGCGUGGGGAGCGAACCGG